GCCUGGCUGGCUCAGCAGGUAGAGCGUGUGACUCUUGAUCUCGGGUUGUGAGAGCGAGCCCCACGUUGGGUG
Molecule: transfer RNA, 72 nt
Filed under: Canis lupus familiaris (dog)
Lineage: Eukaryota; Metazoa; Chordata; Mammalia; Carnivora; Canidae
Also listed under: 1 other name
Rfam family: tRNA
About the family: Transfer RNA (tRNA) molecules are approximately 80 nucleotides in length. Their secondary structure includes four short double-helical elements and three loops (D, anti-codon, and T loops). Further hydrogen bonds mediate the characteristic L-shaped molecular structure. tRNAs have two regions of fundamental functional importance: the anti-codon, which is responsible for specific mRNA codon recognition, and the 3' end, to which the tRNAs corresponding amino acid is attached (by aminoacyl-tRNA synthetases). tRNAs cope with the degeneracy of the genetic code in two manners: having more than one tRNA (with a specific anti-codon) for a particular amino acid; and 'wobble' base-pairing, i.e. permitting non-standard base-pairing at the 3rd anti-codon position.
Source: Rfam by way of RNAcentral